GGUUAAGCGACUAAGCGUACACGGUGGAUGCCCUGGCAGUCAGAGGCGAUGAAGGGCGUGCUAAUCUGCGAUAAGCGCCGGUAAGGUGAUAUGAACCGUUAUAACCGGCGAUACCCGAAUGGGGAAACCCAGUGUGACUCGUCACACUAUCAUUAACUGAAUCCAUAGGUUAAUGAGGCGAACCGGGGGAACUGAAACAUCUAAGUACCCCGAGGAAAAGAAAUCAACCGAGAUUCCCCCAGUAGCGGCGAGCGAACGGGGAGGAGCCCAGAGCCUGAAUCAGCAUGUGUGUUAGUGGAAGCGUCUGGAAAGGCGCGCGAUACAGGGUGACAGCCCCGUACACAAAAGCGCAUGUGCUGUGAGCUCGAUGAGUAGGGCGGGACACGUGGUAUCCUGUCUGAAUAUGGGGGGACCAUCCUCCAAGGCUAAAUACUCCUGACUGACCGAUAGUGAACCAGUACCGUGAGGGAAAGGCGAAAAGAACCCCGGCGAGGGGAGUGAAAAAGAACCUGAAACCGUGUACGUACAAGCAGUGGGAGCCCCACCACCAAAGCAUUCUCUGGUGUUGAAGGCCCUGCAAAGCAGCAUCGCGGUGGCGGAGCGUCGUUUGCGACGCCCAACACACAAAACAAGCGGUGAGUGCUUUGGGGUGGGGUGACUGCGUACCUUUUGUAUAAUGGGUCAGCGACUUAUAUUCUGUAGCAAGGUUAACCGUAUAGGGGAGCCGUAGGGAAACCGAGUCUUAACCGGGCGUUAAGUUGCAGGGUAUAGACCCGAAACCCGGUGAUCUAGCCAUGGGCAGGUUGAAGGUUGGGUAACACUAACUGGAGGACCGAACCGACUAAUGUUGAAAAAUUAGCGGAUGACCUGUGGCUGGGGGUGAAAGGCCAAUCAAACCGGGAGAUAGCUGGUUCUCCCCGAAAGCUAUUUAGGUAGCGCCUCGUGAAUUCAUCUCCGGGGGUAGAGCACUGUUUCGGCUAGGGGGCCAUCCCGGCUUACCAACCCGAUGCAAACUGCGAAUACCGGAGAAUGUUAUCACGGGAGACACACGGCGGGUGCUAACGUCCGUCGUGAAGAGGGAAACAACCCAGACCGCCAGCUAAGGUCCCAAAGUCAUGGUUAAGUGGGAAACGAUGUGGGAAGGCCCAGACAGCCAGGAUGUUGGCUUAGAAGCAGCCAUCAUUUAAAGAAAGCGUAAUAGCUCACUGGUCGAGUCGGCCUGCGCGGAAGAUGUAACGGGGCUAAACCAUGCACCGAAGCUGCGGCAGCGACGCUGAUGCGUUGUUGGGUAGGGGAGCGUUCUGUAAGCCUGUGAAGGUGGCCUGUGAGGGUUGCUGGAGGUAUCAGAAGUGCGAAUGCUGACAUAAGUAACGAUAAAGCGGGUGAAAAGCCCGCUCGCCGGAAGACCAAGGGUUCCUGUCCAACGUUAAUCGGGGCAGGGUGAGUCGACCCCUAAGGCGAGGCCGAAAGGCGUAGUCGAUGGGAAACGGGUUAAUAUUCCCGUACUUGGUGUUACUGCGAAGGGGGGACGGAGAAGGCUAUGUUGGCCGGGCGACGGUUGUCCCGGUUUAAGCGUGUAGGUGUGUGUUCCAGGUAAAUCCGGUUCACUUUAACACUGAGGCGUGAUGACGAGGCACUACGGUGCUGAAGCAACAAAUGCCCUGCUUCCAGGAAAAGCCUCUAAGCAUCAGGUAACAUCAAAUCGUACCCCAAACCGACACAGGUGGUCAGGUAGAGAAUACCAAGGCGCUUGAGAGAACUCGGGUGAAGGAACUAGGCAAAAUGGUGCCGUAACUUCGGGAGAAGGCACGCUGACACGUAGGUGAAGUGAUUUACUCACGGAGCUGAAGUCAGUCGAAGAUACCAGCUGGCUGCAACUGUUUAUUAAAAACACAGCACUGUGCAAACACGAAAGUGGACGUAUACGGUGUGACGCCUGCCCGGUGCCGGAAGGUUAAUUGAUGGGGUCAGCGCAAGCGAAGCUCCUGAUCGAAGCCCCGGUAAACGGCGGCCGUAACUAUAACGGUCCUAAGGUAGCGAAAUUCCUUGUCGGGUAAGUUCCGACCUGCACGAAUGGCGUAAUGAUGGCCAGGCUGUCUCCACCCGAGACUCAGUGAAAUUGAACUCGCUGUGAAGAUGCAGUGUACCCGCGGCAAGACGGAAAGACCCCGUGAACCUUUACUAUAGCUUGACACUGAACAUUGAGCCUUGAUGUGUAGGAUAGGUGGGAGGCUUUGAAGUGUGGACGCCAGUCUGCAUGGAGCCGACCUUGAAAUACCACCCUUUAAUGUUUGAUGUUCUAACGUGGACCCGUAAUCCGGGUUGCGGACAGUGUCUGGUGGGUAGUUUGACUGGGGCGGUCUCCUCCUAAAGAGUAACGGAGGAGCACGAAGGUUGGCUAAUCCUGGUCGGACAUCAGGAGGUUAGUGCAAUGGCAUAAGCCAGCUUGACUGCGAGCGUGACGGCGCGAGCAGGUGCGAAAGCAGGUCAUAGUGAUCCGGUGGUUCUGAAUGGAAGGGCCAUCGCUCAACGGAUAAAAGGUACUCCGGGGAUAACAGGCUGAUACCGCCCAAGAGUUCAUAUCGACGGCGGUGUUUGGCACCUCGAUGUCGGCUCAUCACAUCCUGGGGCUGAAGUAGGUCCCAAGGGUAUGGCUGUUCGCCAUUUAAAGUGGUACGCGAGCUGGGUUUAGAACGUCGUGAGACAGUUCGGUCCCUAUCUGCCGUGGGCGCUGGAGAACUGAGGGGGGCUGCUCCUAGUACGAGAGGACCGGAGUGGACGCAUCACUGGUGUUCGGGUUGUCAUGCCAAUGGCACUGCCCGGUAGCUAAAUGCGGAAGAGAUAAGUGCUGAAAGCAUCUAAGCACGAAACUUGCCCCGAGAUGAGUUCUCCCUGAGACUUAGAGUCUCCUGAAGGAACGUUGAAGACGACGACGUUGAUAGGCCGGGUGUGUAAGCGCAGCGAUGCGUUGAGCUAACCGGUACUAAUGAACCGUGAGGCUUAACCUU
Molecule: ribosomal RNA, 3008 nt
Filed under: Salmonella enterica
Lineage: Bacteria; Pseudomonadati; Pseudomonadota; Gammaproteobacteria; Enterobacterales; Enterobacteriaceae
Description: 23S ribosomal RNA
Rfam family: Bacterial large subunit ribosomal RNA
Source: RNAcentral